AAGACCUUGCGCUUUUGGAGCGGCCGAUGUCUGAUUAGCUUGUUGGUGAGGUAAAGGCUUACCAAGGCUUCGAUCAGUAGCUGGUCUGAGAGGACGGCCAGCCACACUGGGACUGAGACACGGCCCAGACUCCUACGGGAGGCAGCAGUGGGGAAUUUUGGACAAUGGGCGCAAGCCUGAUCCAGCCAUGCCGCGUGAGUGAAGAAGGCCUUCGGGUUGUAAAGCUCUUUCAGCCGGGAAGAAAAGGUUGCGACUAAUAAUCGCAAUCCAUGACGGUACCGAAAGAAGAAGCACCGGCUAACUACGUGCCAGCAGCCGCGGUAAUACGUAGGGUGCGAGCGUUAAUCGGAAUUACUGGGCGUAAAGGGUGCGCAGGCGGUUUUGUAAGUCAGAUGUGAAAUCCCCGGGCUUAACCUGGGAACU
Molecule: ribosomal RNA, 423 nt
Filed under: uncultured bacterium
Lineage: Bacteria
Description: bacterial SSU rRNA
Rfam family: Bacterial small subunit ribosomal RNA
Source: RNAcentral